This 104-nucleotide small nuclear RNA is filed under the name Microcebus murinus (gray mouse lemur). Lineage: Eukaryota; Metazoa; Chordata; Mammalia; Primates; Cheirogaleidae. The record is from RNAcentral.
GUGCCAGGUUUGGCAGCACAUAUACUAAAGUUGGAACAAUACAGAGGUUAGCACGACCCCUGCGCAAGGAUGACACGCAAAUCCGUGAAGGGUUCCAUAUAUUU